RNAcentral lists this ribosomal RNA (511 nucleotides) under Afronurus sp. AsH4. RNAcentral's name for it is "partial 16S ribosomal RNA". It matches the Rfam family "Bacterial large subunit ribosomal RNA", at positions 1827 to 2601 of the family's 2925-position model. The record is from RNAcentral. Lineage: Eukaryota; Metazoa; Arthropoda; Insecta; Ephemeroptera; Heptageniidae.
CGCCUUUUGGAGGGAAUAGAAGGUCUGACCUGCCCACUGACUCAGUUAAAGGGCCGCGGUAUUUUGACCGUGCAAAGGUAGCAUAAUCAUUAGUCUUCUAAUUAAAGGCUGGAAUGAAUGGUUGGACGAGGUAUUAGCUGUCUCACUAAAAUAAACCUGAAUUUAGCUUUUUAGUCAAAAGGCUGAAAUGUUGUUGGAGGACGAGAAGACCCUAUAGAGCUUAACGUUAAAUCUUUUUAAUUUAUUUGGGUAGAUUUUGGUUUGAGAGAGUAGACGUUUCGUUGGGGUGACGGGGAGAUAAAAUUAACUCUUUUUGGUAUGUGACAUUAAUGUAUGAAUAGUUGAUCCAUAGAUAAUGAUUAAAAGACUAAGUUACCUUAGGGAUAACAGCGUAAUCUUUUUUGAGAGUUCUAAUCGACAAAAAGGGUUGCGACCUCGAUGUUGGACUAAGGGUUAUUUUUGGGUGUAGCAGCUCAAAGUUUAGGUCUGUUCGACCUUUGAAUCCUUACAU